Molecule: RNase P RNA, 374 nt
Filed under: Syntrophus aciditrophicus SB
Lineage: Bacteria; Pseudomonadati; Thermodesulfobacteriota; Syntrophia; Syntrophales; Syntrophaceae
Description: Bacterial RNase P class A
Rfam family: Bacterial RNase P class A
About the family: Ribonuclease P (RNase P) is a ubiquitous endoribonuclease, found in archaea, bacteria and eukarya as well as chloroplasts and mitochondria. Its best characterised activity is the generation of mature 5'-ends of tRNAs by cleaving the 5'-leader elements of precursor-tRNAs.
Source: Rfam by way of RNAcentral
GGAGUGGAUCAGAUGAUCGCCGGCCUGCAGCAAGCAGACGGGAGGAAAGUCCGAGCUCCAGAGGGCAGGAUGGUCGCUAAUGACGACUGGAGGCGACUCUAAGGAAAGUGCCACAGAAAAUAUACCGCCCGACUCCGUUGGGUAAGGGUGAAAAGGCGAGGUAAGAGCUCACCGUUUUCCGGGUGACCGGAAAAGCAUGGUAAACCCCAUCCGGAGCAAGACCAAAUAGGAGAACAUUUGAGAGUGGCCCGCUCGACGUUCUCGGGUAGCGUCGCUUGAGGCAGCAGGCAACUGCUGUCCUAGAGGAAUGAUCAUCGCCAUACUCCGGGAGAUUGGAAUAUGGAACAGAACUCGGCUUAUGAUCUGCUCCGACU